This 509-nucleotide ribosomal RNA is filed under the name uncultured bacterium. Its description in RNAcentral is "bacterial SSU rRNA". It matches the Rfam family "Bacterial small subunit ribosomal RNA", at positions 28 to 496 of the family's 1533-position model. The record is from RNAcentral.
GACGAACGCUGGCGGCGUGCCUAAUACAUGCAAGUCGAACGCACUCUCGUUUAGAUUGAAGGAGCUUGCUCCUGAUUGAUAAACAUUUGAGUGAGUGGCGGACGGGUGAGUAACACGUGGGUAACCUGCCCUAAAGUGGGGGAUAACAUUUGGAAACAGAUGCUAAUACCGCAUAAAACCUAACACCGCAUGGUGUAGGGUUGAAAGAUGGUUUCGGCUAUCACUUUAGGAUGGACCCGCGGUGCAUUAGUUAGUUGGUGAGGUAAAGGCUCACCAAGACCGUGAUGCAUAGCCGACCUGAGAGGGUAAUCGGCCACACUGGGACUGAGACACGGCCCAGACUCCUACGGGAGGCAGCAGUAGGGAAUCUUCCACAAUGGACGAAAGUCUGAUGGAGCAACGCCGCGUGAGUGAAGAAGGUUUUCGGAUCGUAAAACUCUGUUGUUGGAGAAGAAUGUAUUUGAUAGUAACUGAUCAGGUAGUGACGGUAUCCAACCAGAAAGCCACGG